Non-coding RNA from Nicotiana tabacum (common tobacco), 1527 nucleotides. NCBI's taxonomy places the organism in Eukaryota, Viridiplantae, Streptophyta, Magnoliopsida, Solanales, Solanaceae. The record is from RefSeq and is a predicted model, not a curated record.
UUUGCUUCCUGGGACAUGAAUUAUGCUUUGCUCUUCAUUAAACACAGAGCUCUAUGCUAAAGCUCCAUAUAGAAAUUAUAUUUCAAUGUGUGUGUGUGUGUGUGUAAUCAGGGACAACCAUCCGAAAGUUUUAGGAAAUAAUUAAACUUGCAUUGUCAGGAUUUGACAGCAAUACGGCUUCAGAUAUUGUCUCAUCUAGAUUAUGUUUUUCAUUAAUGUAAGAGUAAUUUUGCCUGACUGAUAGCAAAAGCAUAUGUCCCUUUUCAGCAUUCAUGUGAUGCUAAUUUCUCUGUCUCUCCUUCUGUAGUUGUUUUUCAAGUUUUUACUACUUACCUUUCCUUGCGUGUUAAUUCCUUUUAUUCGUUAUAUGAGUAGUGUGUAGCGUCUAUUUGCACUGUGAAGUCGAGGAAGCAUCUUUGCUCGAGAUGAAAUUUAAGUGAGUUGAGCAAGGAGGAUAUGGUUUAGAGUAAUGCAUCUUCAUAUCAGGAUGAAAGAUGACAAAAAAAGCUCGUAGCUCAGUUGGUGAAAGGGGUGUCGUGCUGGCAUUCUCAGGAGAUAUUGUGCAAGAUUUUCAGUAGGUAUAUUUUUGGCUUAUCCCUGUAGAAAAACUGCUUGAAGAGAUUUUGCAAAUAAUCUUGUUCUUUUAAGUAGUAAUAGAUCUAUUGAUUUUCACUGAUCCAAAAGAAAAGUAAAAAUAUAUCAUGAUUUUCAAAUUGCUUGUUAACUCUGCUUUUUGAUAGUUAACACUAAUGCAAUUUAUCAGCCAUUGGCAAUGUAGUUGAAAGGAUGAUCAGGGAAGUCAGAUUGUCUAAAAUAAUAUCCCCAGCAUUUAAAUUGAUUGACGGUCACCUCAUCAGGUAUAUGCUGACUGAAGUUCUGUCCUCUUAUUAACAUAAUCUAUUUUUUCAGUUAACUUGCCUGCGAUAUCCUUUCCCUGGAUGUACUGCAAAGAAGCAGAAGAUAAAAGGUCCAGAUAAAGGCAACCUCACUUUCUCAGUAAGUGAGUUGAGGAAGGAUGUGGUGGUUAUGGAGAAAUGCAAAUGUUAUCUCUUGACCUUUGAUAUUUCUACUGGCAGUUCAAAGGCAUACAAGACAGAAAGUUUGUAUUCCAUAAUUUAACAUUUAAAAGCAUCGGCAUAAUGUAAGUGCUAUUUUGUAUGAUUAUCUGAUCUCAACUUAACGAUCGUUUUUCUUUCUUUGUCAGGAUUUUGGUGACAAUUAACUCAGUCAAGUAGCUAAUUUCUAGGUCCCCGGCAGCGGCGCCAAAAACCUGUUGGGACCAAACACACUCACGCAAGUAUACGUGGUCGUCAAGUAAUAGAGUGGUGAAUAGAUUAUCAUUCCCACGAGGACUUAUGAUUAACUUUUGACUAAUUCAAACUCAACUAGCUUAUCGAUUCAAGCGAUUUCUUAUAAAAUAGAUAAUUGUCUAAUUUACUACCUAAAGACUAUCAAGUAAUGGAAUACCAGAAAUCAACACAACACUUAAAUAGUUUUAAAUAACAAUCAAUGGGAGAUAAUAUUCCA